AUCGAAAGCGGAACGUUCGAUGAACUGGUGGCCAGCGGCGGUUAUUUCGCCAGGCUCGCAAGGGCGCAGUUCAUGGUUCAGGAAGGUGCUCACCCGGAACCGGCGGUGCGACCGACCGCAGUUUCGCGGACAUAAAGUUGUGGUGCAUCACCGGUCUUGUCCCGGUGAUCCCGAUAAAUUGAGCACAGUGCCCCGUCCGCCGGGACGGCCGGAACAAGUCCGGCCAUGACAGAACAACGUGUGGGCAUUGUCGAAUUUUGGCCCAUUUCAUGCUUGAUUGAGCCUCAAAGCCCCUGUUCGGACGGGUGCGCUACGGUAUAAGUAUUGUGCGCAUCUGAUUU
RNAcentral lists this unclassified non-coding RNA (341 nucleotides) under Hevea brasiliensis (rubber tree). Lineage: Eukaryota; Viridiplantae; Streptophyta; Magnoliopsida; Malpighiales; Euphorbiaceae. The record is from RNAcentral.